AAAAAUAACACAACCUGAACUAACAUAAAAGAAUAGCAUAGGUAUAUACAGUAUAUAUUAUGCUAUUCUUUUAGGUUAAUAUUAAAGACUUGAACACCCCAAUGUGACUUGUCUGGUCGAACAUUUGCCCGAGUGAGCUGUGAGGGGAAGGGUGUGACAGACUGACUGUUAUGUGGUGAUUAAAUUUUUUGGUAUUUUUAUACUAAGUAAUUUAUACACAAGCUUAUGUCGCUACUGUCCUCUGUGGAUAUCAAGCUUCCGUAGUCUUCCUUCACCAACACAAGAGAGGACAGGUGCUGCCACGGGUGGCCGCAGGAUUUUUCCAGGGGGAUGCAAGAAAGCAAGACAAGACCUGACAUAUCAGUUUAAUCAAAACAGAUGCAGUGGUUCAUUAUCCAAGAUGGUGGACAAGACCAUCCUGAUGAUUAUAAUGGGGAGAACUAUGUGGGGCUGGAUAUUGGACAAAUGGCAUACCCUGGUAAAAGCAAAUAGCAAAGACAACAGAGAGCAGCAGUGACCCUUGUACUGCUGUCACAAUCACCGCUCAGCGUCCUGAAGAGAAUGUGGUGCUGGGAGACCCACCAAGAACCUUCUUGCAUGCUUCAGUAGGGUCUUCAGUGGUACUGGCCUUGAAUAUAAAAUAUUGUGUGACUGUCUGAGGAGAAUGGCUGUUUGGCUCAGGUGGACUGCUGGCUGGCUCUGGUGAAUGGUUGACUAGCUGAGGCGAACGUCUGGCAGGUCAAGAACCCCACCAAACAGAUACAUUGUGAUGGAGGUAUCAUCACGCUUUCACAAUCUCAAGUAUUUCCCAAUUCAACGUCUAUAAUGGACUCCACUUAAGGCAAAACAGACUUCCAUUCAACAUUUGGUGUGCAGUGUCCAGAUUGUCAACAUUCCAUAUCCAUACACUUGAGCACACUCCUAUAACAAAUUACGCGGUGAGCAGCAGUCUUCUCACAGGCAUCAUCCACAACAUUCCUUCACAGUACAUGCCAUUUUACUCAGAUAAAUUUAUAAAAUUCACUAUUAACCAUUGUAUGAGCACACCACUACCGCCCGUGCACGAGUACCCUCCACUGCCCAACGUACGAGCGUCCCUCCACUGCCCAAUGUACGAGCGUCCCUCCACUGCCCAACGUACGAGCGUCCCUCCACUGCCCAACGUACGAGCGUCCCAACCCUUCUCACAAAGCAAGUCACUCUUUUUCAUUCUUACAUUGUGGGUUUUAGGAUAGCUAUACAAAGACACAGGUAACUUAAGGUAACUUAACUGGGGAGGCUGAAUUAACAUGUGUUACAUCUUGCUCAAGGUUGGCUCCGUCACUUCCUCUAUGUUGGCCUUUAAGUAAAUCAUCUGUCACCUGCAAUAUUUUUCGAGUUAUUUCUGUAAAAUGAAGGUUAAACCUACAAUAUCCUUCUACCACUAGACCUCCUGUACUUUGACUCCAACUGUACACAAUUUAUCAAAUUUUAAUAAUU
This is a long non-coding RNA of Homarus americanus (American lobster), 1479 nucleotides long. RefSeq lists it as uncharacterized. Lineage: Eukaryota; Metazoa; Arthropoda; Malacostraca; Decapoda; Nephropidae. The transcript has 8 exons. The record is from RefSeq and is a predicted model, not a curated record.